Molecule: ribosomal RNA, 253 nt
Filed under: uncultured bacterium
Lineage: Bacteria
Description: partial 16S ribosomal RNA
Rfam family: Bacterial small subunit ribosomal RNA
Source: RNAcentral
UACGUAGGGGGCUAGCGUUGUCCGGAAUCAUUGGGCGUAAAGAGCGCGUAGGCGGCCAGAUAAGUCCGGUGUGAAAGUCACAGGCUCAACCUGUGAAUGCCGCUGGAAACUGUCUGGCUAGAGUCCGGAAGGGGCGAGUGGAAUUCCUGGUGUAGCGGUGAAAUGCGCAGAUAUCAGGAGGAACACCGGUGGCGAAGGCGGAUCUCUGGGCCUUACCUGACGCUCAGGCACGAAAGCUAGGGGAGCGAACAGG